This 21-nucleotide microRNA is filed under the name Gossypium raimondii (Peruvian cotton). RNAcentral describes it as "gra-miR1446". The record is from miRBase by way of RNAcentral. Lineage: Eukaryota; Viridiplantae; Streptophyta; Magnoliopsida; Malvales; Malvaceae.
AACUCUCUCCCUCAAAGGCUA